AAACAAUAAAGCAUUAAGCAUUGGACAUGGAGAGUACGACCGCAAGGUUAAAAAUCAAAGAAAUUGACGGGGGCAGUCACAAUAAAAGGAACAUGUGAUUUAAUUGGAAGCAACGAGCAGAACAUUACCAACCCAUGAAAUGUCCAUUACCGGUUCGAGAGAUCGGGCUUUCAGUUAGGCUAGGUGGAACACAGGAGAAGAAUGGCAGUAGUAAGCUCGUGUCGUAAGAUGUUGGGUUAAGUCCCGAAGGGAGCGCAACCCCUACCGCCAGUUGCCGUCAUUAAGUGGGGCAUUAGGGGGGAACUGCCGGUGCCAGCCCGGAGGAGGGGGGGGAUGGCGGCAAAUUCUUAAUGCCCUUAAGGGUUGGGCUUCCCAAGUUGUACAAUGGCGGUGGCAAGGGGAAGAGAAAUUGCAAGAAGGGGCCAAUUCCCAAAAACCGUUUCAGUUUGGGUUGCACUUUGCAACUUGGGUGCAUGAAGUUGGGAUCGGUAGUAAUUGGGGAUCAGCCCGCCGCGGUGGAUACGUUCCCGGGCCUUGUACACACCGCCCGUCACACCAUGGGAGUUGGCUUUACCCGAAGGUGGUGCGCUAACCGGCAACGGAGGCAGCCAACCACGGUCAGGUCAGCGACU
RNAcentral lists this ribosomal RNA (632 nucleotides) under Azospirillum sp. Azo_LR6. Its description in RNAcentral is "bacterial SSU rRNA". It matches the Rfam family "Bacterial small subunit ribosomal RNA", at positions 848 to 1476 of the family's 1533-position model. The record is from RNAcentral. Lineage: Bacteria; Pseudomonadati; Pseudomonadota; Alphaproteobacteria; Rhodospirillales; Azospirillaceae.